GGUCCGGCUGGGCGCCGGGCGGGAGCCGAGGCCGCUGCGGACCCCGCAAUCCCGCAGCCGGCGACUGGAGCCCACCUCUGCAGAGACAAAGAUGCCCAAGGCUUCAGCAGGCGCCAGGAAGCAGAGGACACAGCUGGGAUGUGAAAUAGCAAUACCUGCAUUGAUGAAUAAAACGGUGAGGCCAUCAUUUUCCUGAAGAACAGCAGAGGACGUACCAACCGACAUCAGAGACAGGCACAGCGAGGAGGGUUAAAAGGAGUGUGCAAACGCAGCGAAGGCAUACAAAUAAAUAUGGCACCUACUCAAAAACCGGAAUCGCAGUGCAGCCCCGCCGCGGAGACAGACCGAUUUCAGGCGAACACAAGCGCGGUUCAAAACGAAAGCAAGUUGAGAAAGGAGAGGCGCUCCACGCAGCAGCUCGCCCAAGUGAGAAGUUAAGGAGCGAAAAUGUCACAAUUGGUUUUUCAAGUAUUCCUUCACUUUCGGUUAGUUAUUUGCCGUAA
Long non-coding RNA from Lepus europaeus (European hare), 503 nucleotides. RefSeq lists it as uncharacterized. The transcript is spliced from 3 exons. Lineage: Eukaryota; Metazoa; Chordata; Mammalia; Lagomorpha; Leporidae. The record is from RefSeq and is a predicted model, not a curated record.